AGCUCCAAUAGCGUAUAUUAAAGUUGUUGCAGUUAAAAAGCUCGUAGUUGGAUUUCAGGAUACACGUUGAGUCAUGUCCAAAUGGAUUUGAUUUGAAUGAUUUGUAUUCUUCUUUCUUGAAGACUUUAUAUGCUCUUAACUGGGUGUAUAUAUGGAUUCAGGACUUUUACUUUGAAAAAAUUAGAGUGUUCAAAGCAGGCAUAUUUUUUAAUAAUCGCUUGAAUACAUUAGCAUGGGAUAAUAGAAUAGGACUUUGGUUCUAUUUUGUUGGUUUUCGAGAACUGAAGUAAUGAUUAAUAGGGAUAGUUGGGGGCAUUAAUAUUUAAUAGUCAGAGGUGAAAUUCUUAGAUUUAUGAAAGAUUAACCUCUGCGAAAGCAUUUGCCAAGGAUGUUUUCAUUA
This 400-nucleotide ribosomal RNA is filed under the name phytoplankton environmental sample. RNAcentral's name for it is "partial small subunit ribosomal RNA". It matches the Rfam family "Eukaryotic small subunit ribosomal RNA", at positions 587 to 975 of the family's 1831-position model. The record is from RNAcentral.